RNAcentral lists this ribosomal RNA (253 nucleotides) under uncultured bacterium. Its description in RNAcentral is "partial 16S ribosomal RNA". It matches the Rfam family "Bacterial small subunit ribosomal RNA", at positions 524 to 776 of the family's 1533-position model. The record is from RNAcentral.
UACGGGGGGUGCGAGCGUUGUCCGGAAUCACUGGGCGUAAAGGGCGCGUAGGUGGCCUGAUAAGGGUGUGGUGAAAGUCCGGGGCUUAACCCCGGAUCUGCCGUGCCGACUGUUAGGCUAGAGUGCUGUAGGGGCAGGCGGAAUUCCGGGUGUAGCGGUGGAAUGCGUAGAGAUCCGGAGGAAGACCGGUGGCGAAGGCGGCUCACUGGCCCGGUACUGACGCUGAGGUGCGAAAGCGUGGGGAGCAAACAGG